This 93-nucleotide ribosomal RNA is filed under the name Methylococcaceae bacterium. The record is from RNAcentral. Lineage: Bacteria; Pseudomonadati; Pseudomonadota; Gammaproteobacteria; Methylococcales; Methylococcaceae.
ACCACCCGAUCCCAUCUCGAACUCGGAAGUGAAACCGCUUAGCGCCGAUGAUAGUGUGGCAGUUUGCCAUGCGAAAGUAGGGAAUUGCCAAGC